GCAAGUCGAACGGUAACAUAGCUAGCUUGCUAGCUGAUGACGAGUGGCGGACGGGUGAGUAACGCGUAGGAAUUUACCUUUCGGUGGGGGAUAGCCCGGUGAAAACCGGAUUAAUACCGCAUAAGCCCUACGGGGGAAACGAGGCCUCUUCUUGAAAGCUUCGACCGAUAGAUGAGCCUGCGUUAGAUUAGCUAGUUGGUAGGGUAAUGGCCUACCAAGGCGACGAUCUAUAGCUGGUCUGAGAGGAUGAUC
Molecule: ribosomal RNA, 252 nt
Filed under: uncultured bacterium
Lineage: Bacteria
Description: partial 16S ribosomal RNA
Rfam family: Bacterial small subunit ribosomal RNA
Source: RNAcentral